Molecule: ribosomal RNA, 458 nt
Filed under: uncultured bacterium
Lineage: Bacteria
Description: partial 16S ribosomal RNA
Rfam family: Bacterial small subunit ribosomal RNA
Source: RNAcentral
AACGAACGCUGGCGGCAUGCCUAACACAUGCAAGUCGAACGAGACCUUCGGGUCUAGUGGCGCACGGGUGCGUAACGCGUGGGAACCUGCCCUUAGGUUCGGAAUAACUCCCCGAAAGGGGUGCUAAUACCGGAUAAUGUCUUCGGACCAAAGAUUUAUCGCCUUUGGAUGGGCCCGCGUUGGAUUAGCUAGUUGGUAGGGUAAAAGCCUACCAAGGCGACGAUCCAUAGCUGGUCUGAGAGGAUGAUCAGCCACACUGGGACUGAGACACGGCCCAGACACGGAAGGGGGGCAGCGGCCGGGACCCUUGGGGAAGGAGCGGGAGGGGAAUAUUGAAAAAUGGCGUAGGUGAAGAACGACAAAGGCCGGGAGAGAGAUGUUGGCGUUAGAGAAAAAAAGCAGUUUAACCCGAGGUUAUAAUGAAGGUACCGAAAGAAUAAGCCCCGGCUAACCCCGUG